UACGUAGGGGGCAAGCGUUGUCCGGAUUUAUUGGGCGUAAAGAGCGUGUAGGCGGCCUGACAGGUCUGCUGUGAAAACUCGAGGCUCAACCUCGAGAUGUCGGCGGAAACCGUCUGGCUAGAGUCCGGAAGAGGAGAGUGGAAUUCCUGGCGUAGCGGUGAAAUGCGCAGAUAUCAGGAAGAACACCUAUGGCGAAGGCAGCUCUCUGGGACGGUACUGACGCUGAGACGCGAAAGCGUGGGGAGCGAACAGG
RNAcentral lists this ribosomal RNA (253 nucleotides) under uncultured bacterium. Its description in RNAcentral is "partial 16S ribosomal RNA". It matches the Rfam family "Bacterial small subunit ribosomal RNA", at positions 524 to 776 of the family's 1533-position model. The record is from RNAcentral.